GUCCACGCCGUAAACGAUGGGUGCUAGGUGUGGGCGGUGUCGACUCCGUCCGUGCCGAAGCUAACGCAUUAAGCACCCCGCCUGGGGAGUACGGCCGCAAGGCUAAAACUCAAAGGAAUUGACGGGGGCCCGCACAAGCAGCGGAGCAUGUGGUUUAAUUCGACGCAACGCGAAGAACCUUACCUAGGCUUGACAUGCACGGGAAUGUCGUGGAAACACGGCAGCCCUUCGGGGCUCGUGCACAGGUGGUGCAUGGCUGUCGU
RNAcentral lists this ribosomal RNA (263 nucleotides) under uncultured bacterium. RNAcentral's name for it is "partial 16S ribosomal RNA". It matches the Rfam family "Bacterial small subunit ribosomal RNA", at positions 793 to 1055 of the family's 1533-position model. The record is from RNAcentral.